CAACAACGGGUGGAGCCUGCGGUUUAAUUGGACUCAACGCCGGACAACUCACCGGGAACGACAGCAAUAUGUAGGCCAGGCUGAAGACCUUGCCUGAAUCGCUGAGAGGAGGUGCAUGGCCGUCGCCAGUUCGUACUGUGAAGCAUCCUGUUAAGUCAGGCAACGAGCGAGACCCGUGCCCACUGUUACCAGCAUAUCCUCCGGGAUGAUGGGUACUCUGUGGGGACCGCUGAUGUUAAAUCAGAGGAAGGUGCGGGCUACGGUAGGUCAGUAUGCCCCGAAUUUCCCGGGCUACACGCGGGCUACAAUGAAUGGGACAAUGGGCCCCUACCCUGAAAAGGGUUGGUAAUCUCACAAACCCAUCCGUAGUUCGGAUUGAGGGCUGUAACUCGCCCUCAUGAAGCUGGAAUCCGUAGUAAUCGCGUUUCAAUAUAGCGCGGUGAAUACGUCCCUGCUCCUU
This 460-nucleotide ribosomal RNA is filed under the name uncultured archaeon. Its description in RNAcentral is "bacterial SSU rRNA". It matches the Rfam family "Archaeal small subunit ribosomal RNA", at positions 879 to 1338 of the family's 1478-position model. The record is from RNAcentral.